AACGAACGCUGGCGGCAUGCCUAACACAUGCAAGUCGAACGAGACCUUCGGGUCUAGUGGCGCACGGGUGCGUAACGCGUGGGAACCUGCCCUUAGGUUCGGAAUAACUCCCCGAAAGGGGUGCUAAUACCGGAUAAUGUCUUCGGACCAAAGAUUUAUCGCCUUUGGAUGGGCCCGCGUUGGGUUAGCUAGUUGGUAGGGUAAAAGCCUACCAAGGCGACGAUCCAUAGCUGGUCUGAGAGGAUGAUCAGCCACACUGGGACUGAGACACGGCCCAGACUCCUACGGGAGGCAGCAGUGGGGAAUAUUGGACAAUGGGCGAAAGCCUGAUCCAGCAAUGCCGCGUGAGUGAUGAAGGCCUUAGGGUUGUAAAGCUCUUUUACCCGGGAUGAUAAUGACAGUACCGGGAGAAUAAGCUCCGGCUAACUCCGU
Molecule: ribosomal RNA, 432 nt
Filed under: uncultured bacterium
Lineage: Bacteria
Description: partial 16S ribosomal RNA
Rfam family: Bacterial small subunit ribosomal RNA
Source: RNAcentral